This 484-nucleotide ribosomal RNA is filed under the name uncultured bacterium. RNAcentral describes it as "partial 16S ribosomal RNA". It matches the Rfam family "Bacterial small subunit ribosomal RNA", at positions 30 to 507 of the family's 1533-position model. The record is from RNAcentral.
AUUGAACGCUGGCGGCAGGCCUAACACAUGCAAGUCGAGCGGAUGAAGGGAGCUUGCUCCUGGAUUCAGCGGCGGACGGGUGAGUAAUGCCUAGGAAUCUGCCUGGUCGUGGGGGAUAACGUCCGGAAACGGGCGCUAAUACAGCAUACGUCCUGAGGGAGAAAGUGGGGGAUCUUCGGACCUCACGCUAUCAGAUGAGCCUAGGUCGGAUUAGCUAGUUGGUGGGGUAAAGGCCUACCAAGGCGACGAUCCGUAACUGGUCUGAGAGGAUGAUCAGUCACACUGGAACUGAGACACGGUCCAGACUCCUACGGGAGGCGGCAGUAGGGAAUAUUGGACAAUGGGCGAAAGCCUGAUCCAGCCAUGCCGCGUGUGUGAAGAAGGUCUUCGGAUUGUAAAGCACUUUAAGUUGGGAGGAAGGGCAGUAAGUUAAUACCUUGCUGUUUUGACGUUACCAACAGAAUAAGCACCGGCUAACUUCGUG